GGGCCGUUAGCUCAGUCGGUAGAGCAGCGGACUUUUAAUCCGUUGGUCGGGUGUUCGAUUCACCCACGGCCCA
RNAcentral lists this transfer RNA (73 nucleotides) under Deltaproteobacteria bacterium. Its description in RNAcentral is "tRNA-Lys". It matches the Rfam family "tRNA". From Rfam's summary of the family: Transfer RNA (tRNA) molecules are approximately 80 nucleotides in length. Their secondary structure includes four short double-helical elements and three loops (D, anti-codon, and T loops). Further hydrogen bonds mediate the characteristic L-shaped molecular structure. tRNAs have two regions of fundamental functional importance: the anti-codon, which is responsible for specific mRNA codon recognition, and the 3' end, to which the tRNAs corresponding amino acid is attached (by aminoacyl-tRNA synthetases). tRNAs cope with the degeneracy of the genetic code in two manners: having more than one tRNA (with a specific anti-codon) for a particular amino acid; and 'wobble' base-pairing, i.e. permitting non-standard base-pairing at the 3rd anti-codon position. The record is from RNAcentral. RNAcentral also lists the same sequence under 3 other names. Lineage: Bacteria; Pseudomonadati; Myxococcota; Myxococcia.